This is a small nuclear RNA of Spermophilus dauricus (Daurian ground squirrel), 105 nucleotides long. The record is from Ensembl. Lineage: Eukaryota; Metazoa; Chordata; Mammalia; Rodentia; Sciuridae.
GGGCUCGGUGAGGCAGCAAAUAUGCUAAAUUUGAAAAGAUACAGAGAUAAGCAUGGCCCCUGUGCAAGGAUAACUCCAAAUUCCAUAAAAAAAAAACAAAAACAA